AAUCCAUUGUUAUUGGUUUAAAGAUUUUUAAAUUCCAUUCAAAUCUUUUGUUAUUCAAAAAGAUUAAUUUUUAUUGAUUUUGAUAUUUUAUUAAAUUCUAUGGUUAUUGGGAGCUAAAUUCUUUAUAUUUUUACUCAUAAGCCUAUACUUUGAAAAUAUCAUGUUUACUCAUAAGAUUUCUGAAAUCUAUGUAGUAAUAAAAACAUUCACAUACCGUAUGAUAUAUUUUUUCUUGUUUGACCUGUGAUUUUCAGAAGAUCUCUUUGUCGGUUAGUUUCGUAUUUGGCGUGUUCAAACAUAAUUUUUCGUUUGUAAGAGUGAUGCCUCAAAAAAAUGUCAAUGAAAAUAAGAUUGAUAUCUGUCACGUAAUAUGAAGAUAAAAAUGACUAUUUUCAUAACAAAGCAAAGAACA
Molecule: long non-coding RNA, 412 nt
Filed under: Brassica napus (rape)
Lineage: Eukaryota; Viridiplantae; Streptophyta; Magnoliopsida; Brassicales; Brassicaceae
Description: long non-coding RNA (BNAP_LNC023570)
Source: RNAcentral